Mesocricetus auratus (golden hamster) is the source of this 357-nucleotide long non-coding RNA. RefSeq lists it as uncharacterized. NCBI's taxonomy places the organism in Eukaryota, Metazoa, Chordata, Mammalia, Rodentia, Cricetidae. The transcript has 3 exons. The record is from RefSeq and is a predicted model, not a curated record.
ACAGCAGGAUCCUCUCACAGCAAGGCUGCAAGCUCACAUUGGAAUACAGCUUAUCACACAAGGACACUGUAUUCUAGAAGCCAUUUCUUCUGUAGACUGUCCAGAACAUUGCUGUGCUGUGAUGUGAUGUGAAGCUCCCGACUUCCAAGGUUCUUCAAUUUGGGGACAUGCUUGGACCAUAAAUACCCCACAACAAUACCUGACCAGAGGAGAGAAAGGUUAGCCACCAUCCCAGCUUCAUGAACUCAAUGGACUACUUCUCUGAAAAAUUUAUAUGUAAUCCAAUAUCCAGAAGUUUUAAUAUGUCCAGCUUGUCCAACAACAGAGAACAUUCUAGGAAGAUAAUAAAGUUAAAAA